CCCUGAGCUACAUCAUCUGUCAGCAGGAGCAAUAGCCGGAAUAGUAAUAGCAGUCAUAGUCGGAGCGGGUGCGAUUACUGGCUUAAUCUACUACAUCGUAACAAAGACAGGUGUAACAAGGGGCAGUGGCAGCAGCGGUCUAAAUGAGAUGAAUUCAAAACCGACUUACAACACCGGUGAUAAAGGUGCAGAAAAUCAGUUCGUUCAAGAAGAACCUCAGUAUUCUUCACCAACGUUCAAGCCAUCAUCUCCUACGUCUGCGGACACCACUAUAAAUAGCAGUACUGACAAAACAGUAUAUGCACUAGUUAAUGCUCCAAAAAGAUAAUUACUCUAAGCUUAGAAGCAUUACAGGCUGUUUAUUGUAAUUGGAUCACGAAUCGUUUGACAGAAAGCAUUUCUGAACAUGGUUUCAUUCAAGUCAUAUUUAAAUAAUAUCAAGCAGAUUGUAUAAGGCUAAGGGAUAUUUAACUGAUUCAAUAUUACUGCAAAGUUUUAGAAUCAUUUCCUAUGGAACAUUUGUCUGUUUUACAUUUUUUUGGUACAAUCUGCAUUCUACUCCAGUUCACGUGGUACUAAAGCUUUAGUUCGAUUUUGUAAUUAAUCAACCUCUCUGUUCCAGAAAGGCACACUGUGCACAAUUAGCAAUAUCUGUAAGUUUGUUUGCAAAUGGAAGAGAAAUCAUGAAUAUACAGAUUGUCAAGAUGACAGCUGAUUUAAGAACUGCAGGUAAUGAGAAAAUAAAUUCAACAGCAGGAA
Molecule: long non-coding RNA, 759 nt
Organism: Protopterus annectens (West African lungfish)
Lineage: Eukaryota; Metazoa; Chordata; Ceratodontiformes; Protopteridae
Exons: 4
Source: RefSeq, a predicted model, not a curated record